This is a non-coding RNA of Oryza glaberrima (African rice), 196 nucleotides long. The record is from Rfam. NCBI's taxonomy places the organism in Eukaryota, Viridiplantae, Streptophyta, Magnoliopsida, Poales, Poaceae.
AAAAAGACAAACUCUGGGUUUCCGUGUCCAACGUUUGACUGUCCGUAUUAUAUGAAAUUUUUUAUAAUUAGUAUUUUCAUUGUUGUUAGAUGAUAAAACAUGAUUAAUACUUUAUGCGUGAGUUGUCUUUUUAAUUUUUUUCAUAUUUUUUUAAAUAAGACGGACGGUCAAACGUUGGAUAUGGAAACUUAGAGUU